GAUGAAGAACGCAGCGAAAUGCGAUACGUAAUGUGAAUUGCAGAAUUCAGUGAAUCAUCGAGUCUUUGAACGCACAUUGCUCCCCCUGGUAUUCCGGGGGGCAUGCCUGUCCGAGCGUCAUUGCUGCCCUCAAGCACGGCUUGUGUGUUGGGCCUCUGUCCUCCUCCCGGGGGACGGGCCCGAAAGGCAGCGGCGGCACCGCGUCCGGUCCUCGAGCGUAUGGGGCUUCGUCACCCGCUCUUGUAGGCCCGGCCGGCGCUUGCCGACACAUCAAUCUUUUUUCCAGGUUGACCUCGGAUCAGGUAGGGAUACCCGCUGAACUUAAGCAUAUCAAUAAGCGGAGGA
RNAcentral lists this unclassified non-coding RNA (345 nucleotides) under soil metagenome. Its description in RNAcentral is "partial contains 5.8S ribosomal RNA, internal transcribed spacer 2, and large subunit ribosomal RNA". The stretch from base 1 to 120 matches the Rfam family "5.8S ribosomal RNA", at positions 35 to 154 of the family's 154-position model. The record is from RNAcentral.